This 1550-nucleotide ribosomal RNA is filed under the name Klebsiella pneumoniae. RNAcentral describes it as "bacterial SSU rRNA". It matches the Rfam family "Bacterial small subunit ribosomal RNA". Lineage: Bacteria; Pseudomonadati; Pseudomonadota; Gammaproteobacteria; Enterobacterales; Enterobacteriaceae. The record is from RNAcentral.
AAAUUAAAGAGUUUGAUCAUGGCUCAGAUUGAACGCUGGCGGCAGGCCUAACACAUGCAAGUCGAGCGGUAGCACAGAGAGCUUGCUCUCGGGUGACGAGCGGCGGACGGGUGAGUAAUGUCUGGGAAACUGCCUGAUGGAGGGGGAUAACUACUGGAAACGGUAGCUAAUACCGCAUAAUGUCGCAAGACCAAAGUGGGGGACCUUCGGGCCUCAUGCCAUCAGAUGUGCCCAGAUGGGAUUAGCUAGUAGGUGGGGUAACGGCUCACCUAGGCGACGAUCCCUAGCUGGUCUGAGAGGAUGACCAGCCACACUGGAACUGAGACACGGUCCAGACUCCUACGGGAGGCAGCAGUGGGGAAUAUUGCACAAUGGGCGCAAGCCUGAUGCAGCCAUGCCGCGUGUGUGAAGAAGGCCUUCGGGUUGUAAAGCACUUUCAGCGGGGAGGAAGGCGGUGAGGUUAAUAACCUCAUCGAUUGACGUUACCCGCAGAAGAAGCACCGGCUAACUCCGUGCCAGCAGCCGCGGUAAUACGGAGGGUGCAAGCGUUAAUCGGAAUUACUGGGCGUAAAGCGCACGCAGGCGGUCUGUCAAGUCGGAUGUGAAAUCCCCGGGCUCAACCUGGGAACUGCAUUCGAAACUGGCAGGCUAGAGUCUUGUAGAGGGGGGUAGAAUUCCAGGUGUAGCGGUGAAAUGCGUAGAGAUCUGGAGGAAUACCGGUGGCGAAGGCGGCCCCCUGGACAAAGACUGACGCUCAGGUGCGAAAGCGUGGGGAGCAAACAGGAUUAGAUACCCUGGUAGUCCACGCCGUAAACGAUGUCGAUUUGGAGGUUGUGCCCUUGAGGCGUGGCUUCCGGAGCUAACGCGUUAAAUCGACCGCCUGGGGAGUACGGCCGCAAGGUUAAAACUCAAAUGAAUUGACGGGGGCCCGCACAAGCGGUGGAGCAUGUGGUUUAAUUCGAUGCAACGCGAAGAACCUUACCUGGUCUUGACAUCCACAGAACUUUCCAGAGAUGGAUUGGUGCCUUCGGGAACUGUGAGACAGGUGCUGCAUGGCUGUCGUCAGCUCGUGUUGUGAAAUGUUGGGUUAAGUCCCGCAACGAGCGCAACCCUUAUCCUUUGUUGCCAGCGGUUAGGCCGGGAACUCAAAGGAGACUGCCAGUGAUAAACUGGAGGAAGGUGGGGAUGACGUCAAGUCAUCAUGGCCCUUACGACCAGGGCUACACACGUGCUACAAUGGCAUAUACAAAGAGAAGCGACCUCGCGAGAGCAAGCGGACCUCAUAAAGUAUGUCGUAGUCCGGAUUGGAGUCUGCAACUCGACUCCAUGAAGUCGGAAUCGCUAGUAAUCGUAGAUCAGAAUGCUACGGUGAAUACGUUCCCGGGCCUUGUACACACCGCCCGUCACACCAUGGGAGUGGGUUGCAAAAGAAGUAGGUAGCUUAACCUUCGGGAGGGCGCUUACCACUUUGUGAUUCAUGACUGGGGUGAAGUCGUAACAAGGUAACCGUAGGGGAACCUGCGGUUGGAUCACCUCCUUACCUUAAAGAA